GCCAGUGUGGUGUAGUGGUUUGAGCUUUGGACUAUGACUCGGGAGACCAGAGUUCAAAUCCCAGCUCAGCCA
RNAcentral lists this transfer RNA (72 nucleotides) under Phrynosoma platyrhinos (Desert horned lizard). RNAcentral's name for it is "tRNA-OTHER". The record is from RNAcentral. Lineage: Eukaryota; Metazoa; Chordata; Lepidosauria; Squamata; Phrynosomatidae.